CGUUCGCGUAAUAUCAUACCGAAAGGUCUUAUUACGAGGAAAGUCCGGGCUUCACACGGGCAGGAUAACGGAUAACGUCCGCCGGAGGCGACUCCCGGGAAAGUGCAACAGAAAUAAACCGCCCGCGUAAAACGCGCGGGUAAGGAUGGAAAGGCGAGGUAAGAGCUCACCGGCACACUGGCAACUUUUGUGCAAAUGUAAACCCUAUCCGAAGCAACACCGUAUUUGAAAUGACGUAAAAGUCAGCGGCUGCCCGCCGUUUUUUCAAGGGUGGCGCGGGGCGUAUGCUCCGAAGGCGCGCAGCGAUGCGCGUCGCAGAUAGAUGAACGCGGCGAGAGUAUCUCUCGAACAGAACCCGGCUUAUAAGUUGU
Molecule: RNase P RNA, 371 nt
Filed under: bovine gut metagenome
Description: Bacterial RNase P class A
Rfam family: Bacterial RNase P class A
About the family: Ribonuclease P (RNase P) is a ubiquitous endoribonuclease, found in archaea, bacteria and eukarya as well as chloroplasts and mitochondria. Its best characterised activity is the generation of mature 5'-ends of tRNAs by cleaving the 5'-leader elements of precursor-tRNAs. Cellular RNase Ps are ribonucleoproteins.
Source: RNAcentral